Long non-coding RNA from Octopus sinensis (East Asian common octopus), 279 nucleotides. RefSeq lists it as uncharacterized. The transcript has 3 exons. The record is from RefSeq and is a predicted model, not a curated record. Lineage: Eukaryota; Metazoa; Mollusca; Cephalopoda; Octopoda; Octopodidae.
AAAACCCUCCAACGACACAACCAACCCUUCACAAUGGCAAAUGCACAACUAACAUGUGAGGAAAAAAAAAUUAUAUUAAAGUGCUACUGGAAGCACGAAAAUGUCAUGGAAGUGCAAGGACAAUUUAACAGACAGUUUCAGAAGACACCACCAACACAACACACUAUCGCUUGCAUCAGAGAUAAAUUUGAAGCGUACGGAACUGUUCAGAACGUUAGUAAGCAAUGCUCUGGAAGACCAUGAACAUCUACCAGCCCCAAUAGACACAACCAAUUAAUG